RNAcentral lists this unclassified non-coding RNA (211 nucleotides) under plant metagenome. RNAcentral's name for it is "partial contains small subunit ribosomal RNA, internal transcribed spacer 1, and 5.8S ribosomal RNA". The record is from RNAcentral.
UUUCCGUAGGUGAACCUGCGGAAGGAUCAUUCAUAAUAAAGUGUUUUAUGGCACUUUUUAAAAAUCCAUAUCCACCUUGUGUGCAAUGUUAGAUCUCGUCAAUCUUGGCGAGAUUUUUAUACAUCAACUCAUUCUCUAACUAAUUUAUCUGAAAAAUAUUAUGAAUACUUAAUUCAAAAUACAACUUUCAACAACGGAUCUCUUGGCUCUC